GGGGGUGUUCUGGAUUCGACUGAUGUUGGAUUCUUGCACUGCAAGUCGGAGAUGCACUUGGCUUCGUUACAAAUGUGCAAAGCUUUACAUGGCGCUAAAAACCGUGUUAGAGCUCUCGGUUUCAAGAACCGUCUCGCUGCAAAGCGUUUCGGCUUCAAGAGCCGUAAGCUCGCCUUGGCAGCUUAACCUGUCAACCUCUUACCCUUUGACGCAGAUAAGGGGGAUAAGGGGUCAUCUAUCUGCAAAAACAGAAAAGGUUUACCUGUUAAUAAACUGUAGUCCUCUGCGUAGCGGGGGCAAAUAAUUGAAACGGGAAGUUGGAUGUUAAUGUCAUAACUAUAAAAAAAAUUAACUAAACUUGUAGGCGUGCUUGCUUGAAGGCACUCAGGACGCGGGUUCAACUCCCGCCACCUCCACCA
Molecule: transfer-messenger RNA, 419 nt
Filed under: Halobacteriovorax sp.
Lineage: Bacteria; Pseudomonadati; Bdellovibrionota; Bacteriovoracia; Bacteriovoracales; Halobacteriovoraceae
Rfam family: transfer-messenger RNA
About the family: Bacterial tmRNA, also known as 10Sa RNA or SsrA, is named for its dual tRNA and mRNA-like properties.
Source: RNAcentral